GACAAGGGCCCAGGCCCUACGGGGCGCAGCAGUCGCGAAAACUCCGCAAUGCGCGAAAGCGUGACGGGGCUACCCCGAGUGCCGUCCGCUGAGGAUGGCUUUUCCCCGGUGUAAUGAGCCGGGGGAAUAAGGAGAGGGCAAGUCUGGUGUCAGCCGCCGCGGUAAUACCAGCUCUCCGAGUGGUAGGGAUGAUUAUUGGGCUUAAAGCGUCCGUAGCUGGCUUAGCAAGUCUCCUGUUAAAUUCAGCGACCUAAUCGUUGGGCCGCGGGAGAUACUACUAGGCUAGGAGGCGGGAGAGGCCGACGGUAUUCUCGGGGUAGGGGUGAAAUCCUAUAAUCCCGAGAGGACCACCAGUGGCGAAGGCUGUCGGCUAGAACGCGCUCGACGGUGAGGGACGAAAGCUGGGGGAGCGAACCGGAUUAGAUACCCGGGUAGUCCCAGCUGUAAACGAUGCGGGCUAGGUGUUGGGGUGGCUACGAGCCACUUCAGUGCCGCAGGGAAGCCGUUAAGCCCGCCGCCUGGGGAGUACGGCCGCAAGGCUGAAACUUAAAGGAAUUGGCGGGGGAGCACCACAAGGCGUGAAGCUUGCGGUUCAAUUGGAGUCAACGCCGGGAACCUUACCGGGAGCGACAGCAGAAUGAAAGCCAGAUUAAAGGUCUUGCCAGACAAGCUGAGA
This 676-nucleotide ribosomal RNA is filed under the name uncultured crenarchaeote. Its description in RNAcentral is "bacterial SSU rRNA". It matches the Rfam family "Archaeal small subunit ribosomal RNA", at positions 307 to 985 of the family's 1478-position model. Lineage: Archaea; Thermoproteati; Thermoproteota. The record is from RNAcentral.